GCGGUGGAGCAUGUGGAUUAAUUCGAUACAAACCGAAGAACCUUACCUGGGCUUGACAUCCACGAGCAACUCCCUGGAAACAGGGAGCCUCGAUGGGGAAACCCAUCGACCCGUGGACACCGGUUGCAUGGCUGUCGUCAGCUCGUGCCGUGAGGUGUUGGGUUAAGUCCCGCAACGAGCGCAACCCUCGUCCUCUGUUGCCAGCGGGUAACGCCGGGCACUCGGAGGAGACUGCCGUGGUCAACACGGAGGAAGGUGGGGACGACGUCAAGUCAGCAUGGCGGUUACGUCCAGGGCGUCACACAUGCUACAAUGGGUGGUACAAAGGGCAGCCAACGCGCGAGCGGGAGCGAAUCCCAAAAAACCACCCUCAGUUGGGAUCGCAGUCUGCAACUCGACUGCGUGAACGCGGAAUCGCUAGUAACGGCGGGUCAGCCAUACCGCCGUGAAUACGUUCCCGGGCCUUGUACACACCGCCCGUCAAGUCACCCGAGUCGGUUGCGCCCGAAGUCGGUCGCCUAACCCGCAAGGGAGGGAGCCGCCGAAGGUGUGG
Molecule: ribosomal RNA, 553 nt
Filed under: uncultured bacterium
Lineage: Bacteria
Description: bacterial SSU rRNA
Rfam family: Bacterial small subunit ribosomal RNA
Source: RNAcentral